AGGGAAGGGACUAGAGGGACGUCAAUUUGUGUUGUUCUUGUUGUUGAAAACCAAUAAAAUAUUAUUAUUUUUUAAAAAGGGAAUGUGAGGGCUUUGGAACCUGAGCAUUCAAAAGCCUCCUCUGAUAGGAUCUUUUUCCCCAUACAAACGUUAUCCCAGUGAACCUCUUGAGCCUCUCUAAAAUUAAAACUCCAGGAAAGUGUAAUACUAGAGCAAGAUCAAACAUAAGAAGUUGUUACAGCUAUAUACAACCUAACAACAACUUAUUAUUAUUAUUAUUACCCCGCCCAUCUGGCUGGGUUUCCCCAGCCACUCUGGGCGGCUUCCAACAGAAUAAUAAUAAUAAUAAUAAUAAUAAAGCGAUAAAACAUCAAACAUUAAAAACUUCCCUAAACAGAGCUGCCUUCAGAUGUCUUCUAAAAGUCAGAUAGUUGUUUAUUUCCUUGACAUCUGAUGGGAGGGCGUUCCACAGGGUGGGUGCCACUACUGAGAAAGCCCUCUGCCUGGUUCCUUCCAUCCAGAGAUUUCAAAGAGGAGCCUACAAGAGGUUUUGGGCAGCCUCCCAUUCACUCAAAGGUCCAGAGACACACCUUCUUAGCUUCAGCAAGGUUGUUAUAUAUAAUGUGUUGUCAGAACACACCAUGGGAAUUUAGUGUCUGAAACUGUUUGGGAGCCAUCUUAAUUGCCACAGCAUUUGUUCUUUUCCAUCAGAUGCAAGGUAAUAAUUGGACCAUCUUUGUGGAUUGUAAAGGGAAU
This is a non-coding RNA of Podarcis lilfordi (Lilford's wall lizard), 756 nucleotides long. Lineage: Eukaryota; Metazoa; Chordata; Lepidosauria; Squamata; Lacertidae. The record is from the annotation of a GenBank genome assembly.